GAACGCUGGCGGCAGGCUUAACACAUGCAAGUCGAACGGGUGCGAGCAAUCGCAUCAGUGGCAGACGGGUGAGUAACACGUGGGAACCUUCCUAGGGGUACGGAACAACUCAGGGAAACUUGAGCUAAUACCGUAUACGCCCCGGAGCAAUCCGGGGGAAANAUUCAUCGCCCCUAGACGGGCCCGCGUCGGAUUAGGUAGUUGGUGAGGUAACGGCCCACCAAGCCUAUGAUCCGUAGCUGAUCNGAGAGGAUGAUCAGCCACACUGGGACUGAGACACGGCCCAGACUCCUACGGGAGGCAGCAGUGGGGAAUCUUGGACAAUGGGGGAAACCCUGAUCCAGCCAUGCCGCGUGAGUGAAGAAGGCCU
RNAcentral lists this ribosomal RNA (370 nucleotides) under uncultured bacterium. Its description in RNAcentral is "bacterial SSU rRNA". It matches the Rfam family "Bacterial small subunit ribosomal RNA", at positions 31 to 417 of the family's 1533-position model. The record is from RNAcentral.